GCUGCAACUACUAGGUGUUGAGAUGCUUCAUGAGCAAGGAAUGUUUGUGGGCCCCCCCCAGGGCUCUGGGACACAGCAUAAAAGCCUGCGCUGCUCCAGGCUCUGCAUCCUCCUCUCUUGCCUCCCUUUCCUCGAGGAGCAAGCUUUGCCUCCCUCGCCGAGAGAUGUCUUGCUUCAGACCCUGUCUCCCAACGCCCUGCGGCGCCUCCGGCCCAACCCCACUUGCAAGCAGCUGCAGUGAGCCCUGUGUCGCCCGCUGCGCUGACUCGACGGUGGCCAUCCAGGCCUCCCCGGUGGUGGUGACCCUGCCGGGCCCCAUCCUCACCUCUUUCCCUCAGAGCACAGCCGUGGGAUCCUCGCUGUCAGCUGCUGUUGGGAGCUCCCUCAGCGCCGGGGGGGUUCCCAUCUCUUCUGGGGGCUCCCUUGGUCUGGGGGGGUCAGGGCUGUGUCUGCCUCCCACCCGCUGCGGUCUGAACUGCUGAAGCCAGCAGAUCAUCCCCUUUGGAGCACCAAGGAAGACGGGGAUCCUGCAGCAGCAGGAGCGUAGCCACGGCUUGCAGGUGGGCUGAGUGUCCUCAUCCCACCUGGCAGAAGGGACCUGUGCCUGCUGCUCCUCGCCGCACUGCAGGCCUCGCCGUGUCUCCUCUGGCUCUGCUUUGCUCUGAGCUCCUCAGGAAAGGGCUCGUUCUCUUCUGCUUUGCUGAACCUCCUGCUGACGGAGGGAGUGUGCCGGAGUUAGGGCCUGCUCUUGGUGGGCUGGCAUUGCCACCGGGUAGAUCGGAAUGGGGAAAGGCAAGCGCUUUGCCUGGAGCUUGUCCUUGGGAAAUGGGCCAUUCUCUGUGCCUCCCGGAACCCUGCAGACGUGCUUCUCGGUCUCUGUUCCGAGCCACUGCAUUUCCUCCUUCUCAUUAAAGACUUUGUGCAGCA
Long non-coding RNA from Aquila chrysaetos chrysaetos, 927 nucleotides. RefSeq lists it as uncharacterized. Lineage: Eukaryota; Metazoa; Chordata; Aves; Accipitriformes; Accipitridae. The transcript has 2 exons. The record is from RefSeq and is a predicted model, not a curated record.